This 222-nucleotide long non-coding RNA is filed under the name Mytilus galloprovincialis (Mediterranean mussel). The record is from RNAcentral. Lineage: Eukaryota; Metazoa; Mollusca; Bivalvia; Mytilida; Mytilidae.
GUCUGUUGUGACGUUUUUGAUUUUAACGAACGCAACCUAUGUAUUACUGGUAAAUUAUUAAACCAGGGAUAUCGUUACCAUAAAUUACUUAAAACCUUUACUAAAUUUUUUCCAUAGAUAUAAAGAUUUGGUUUUGAAGUUUGGAUGUACCUGUAGAAAACUUAUUUCAAACGGGAUAGCACAUCCUCAUUUUUACGGAAAUGUUGUUAACCGUGCCCGGAA